AUACCAAGUAGUCAUUAGAAUUAAUAAGUUAAAGUUUAUCAAGUUACUCUGAACCCUCAAGUGUAUGGUUUUGCAUUAGUUCAAAGGAUUAUCUGGUCACUCACACCAACUUCUUUGAUGGAGCUACUGGAGACUGGGAAGCAUCUCAGCCAACAAAAGCAGAGAUCAGGAAACACUUGGCAAUUUACAACUGCAGUGCCUCCUACGAGAUCCACAAGCUAGCAAAUGGCCCAACAACACCGGUUUUUUCCUGUCCCACCAUCCUCCUCUCAAAUCACUACACGGAGACUUACAAUUAAUUAUGAAUGCUUGGCCGAUAGCUUAGGCUUGUUUUUAACUAGCUCUUAAAUAAACUCAUAUCUUUUAAUCUAC
This 372-nucleotide long non-coding RNA is filed under the name Cricetulus griseus (Chinese hamster). Its description in RNAcentral is "lncRNA (ENSCGRG00015030283.1)". Lineage: Eukaryota; Metazoa; Chordata; Mammalia; Rodentia; Cricetidae. The record is from RNAcentral.